AGAGUUUGAUCCUGGCUCAGGACGAACGCUGGCGGCGUGCUUAACACAUGCAAGUCGAGCGGAAAGGCCUCUUCGGGGGUACUCGAGCGGCGAACGGGUGAGUAACACGUGAGCAACCUGCCCUGGACUUUGGGAUAACCCUCGGAAACGGGGGCUAAUACCGAAUAUUACCUUUGCCUGCAUGGGUUUUGGUGGAAAGUUUUUUCGGUCUGGGAUGGGCUCGCGGCCUAUCAGCUUGUUGGUGGGGUGAUGGCCUACCAAGGCGACGACGGGUAGCCGGCCUGAGAGGGCGACCGGCCACACUGGGACUGAGACACGGCCCAGACUCCUACGGGAGGCAGCAGUGGGGAAUAUUGCACAAUGGGCGGAAGCCUGAUGCAGCGACGCCGCGUGAGGGAUGACGGCCUUCGGGUUGUAAACCUCUUUCAGCAGGGACGAAGCGCAAGUGACGGUACCUGCAGAAGAAGCGCCGGCCAACUACGUGCCAGCAGCCGCGGUAAGACGUAGGGCGCGAGCGUUGUCCGGAUUUAUUGGGCGUAAAGAGCUCGUAGGCGGCUUGUCGCGUCGACUGUGAAAACCCGCGGCUCAACCGCGGGCCUGCAGCCGAUACGGGCAGGCUAGAGUUCGGUAGGGGAGACUGGAAUUCCUGGUGUAGCGGUGAAAUGCGCAGAUAUCAGGAGGAACACCGGUGGCGAAGGCGGGUCUCUGGGCCGAUACUGACGCUGAGGAGCGAGAGCGUGGGGAGCGAACAGGAUUAGAUACCCUAGUAGUCC
RNAcentral lists this ribosomal RNA (773 nucleotides) under uncultured bacterium. RNAcentral describes it as "bacterial SSU rRNA". It matches the Rfam family "Bacterial small subunit ribosomal RNA", at positions 8 to 796 of the family's 1533-position model. The record is from RNAcentral.